GACGAACGCUGGCGGCGUGCUUAAUACAUGCAAGUCGAGCGAGGUUACUGUUUCGGAUCCCUUCGGGGUGAAGAAGCUUUAACCUAGCGGCGGACGGGUGAGUAACGCGUGGGUAACCUACCCCAAAGUCCGGGAUAACAGCGGGAAACCGCUGCUAAUACCGGAUGCCUUUACCUUGGGGCAUCUUGAGGUAAAGAAAGGUAACGCUUUGGGAUGGGCCCGCGUCCCAUUAGCUAGUUGGUGAGGUAACGGCUCACCAAGGCGACGAUGGGUAGCCGGCCUGAGAGGGUGGACGGCCACACUGGGACUGAGACACGGCCCAGACUCCUACGGGAGGCAGCAGUAGGGAAUAUUGCGCAAUGGACGGAAGUCUGACGCAGCGACGCCGCGUGAGCGAUGAAGGUCUUCGGAUCGUAAAGCUCUGUCCUUGGGGAAGAGGCGAAAGCUUGACGGUACCCAAGAAGAAAGCCCCGGCUAACUACGUG
RNAcentral lists this ribosomal RNA (485 nucleotides) under uncultured bacterium. Its description in RNAcentral is "bacterial SSU rRNA". It matches the Rfam family "Bacterial small subunit ribosomal RNA", at positions 28 to 507 of the family's 1533-position model. The record is from RNAcentral.